GUGCUCCCUUCGGCAGCACAUAUACUAAAGUUGUAAUGAUACAGAGGAGAUUAGCAUGGCCCCUGCACAAGGAUGACACACAAAUCUGUGAUGCCUGUUGAGUAUUU
Small nuclear RNA from Phyllostomus discolor (pale spear-nosed bat), 107 nucleotides. NCBI's taxonomy places the organism in Eukaryota, Metazoa, Chordata, Mammalia, Chiroptera, Phyllostomidae. The record is from RefSeq and is a predicted model, not a curated record.